UACGUAGGGGGCAAGCGUUGUCCGGAUUUAUUGGGCGUAAAGAGCGUGUAGGCGGUUCGGUAGGUCCGUUGUGAAAACUCGAGGCUCAACCUCGAGACGCCGAUGGAAACCCCCGAACUAGAGUCCGGAAGAGGAGAAUGGAAUUCCUGGUGUAGCGGUGAAAUGCGCAGAUAUCAGGAGGAACACCGGUGGCGAAGGCGGGUCUCUGGGCCGAUACUGACGCUGAGGAGCGAAAGCGUGGGGAGCGAACAGG
This 253-nucleotide ribosomal RNA is filed under the name uncultured bacterium. RNAcentral's name for it is "partial 16S ribosomal RNA". It matches the Rfam family "Bacterial small subunit ribosomal RNA", at positions 524 to 776 of the family's 1533-position model. The record is from RNAcentral.